GUCGAACGGCAGUAGUAGCAAUACUAUGAGAGUGGCGCACGGGUGAGUAACACGUACAUAAUCUGCCGAGUACUGGGGGAAAGUCUAGGGAAACUUGGAAUAAUCCCGCAUAAGUUCUUCGAGUGGCAUCGCUUGAAGAAGAAAGCCGCAAGGUGGUACUUGAUGAAUGUGCGUCUGAUUAGCUAGUUGGUUAGGUAACGGCUGACCAAGGCGACGAUCAGUAGGGGGCGUGAGAGCGUGUACCCCCACACGGGUACUGAGACACGGACCCGACUCCUACGGGAGGCAGCAGUAAGGAAUAUUGGUCAAUGGGCGAAAGCCUGAACCAGCCAUGCCGCGUGAAGGAUGAAGGCGUUAUGCGUUGUAAACUUCUUUUGUAUAGGAAGAAUGGUCGAGAUUCAUCUCGAAAGCGACGGUACUAUACGAAUAAGCACCGGCUAACUCCGUGCCAGCAGCCGCGGUAAUACGGAGGGUGCGAGCGUUAUCCGGAAUCACUGGGUUUAAAGGGUACGUAGGCGGUUAAUUAAGUCAGCAGUGAAAGCCUGUCGCUCAACGACGGAUGUGCUGUUGAAACUGGUUAACUUGAAAUGGGUUAGGGUUGGCGGAAUGGGUCAUGUAGCGGUGAAAUGCUUAGAUAUGACUUGGAACACCGAAAGCGAAGGCAGCUGACCGAACCUUGUUUGACGCUGAGGUACGAAAGUGUGGGUAGCGAACAGGAUUAGAUACCCUGGUAGUCCACACCCUAAACUAUGCAGACUGGAUGUUGGGCGGCAAUAGUUCAGCAUCUGAGGGAAACCAUUAAGUCUGCCACCUGGGGAGUACGCCGGCAACGGUGAAACUCAAAGGAAUUGACGGGGGUCCGCACAAGCGGUGGAGUAUGUGGUUUAAUUCGAUGAUACGCGAGGAACCUUACCUGGGCUCGAAUGUUACCGCUAACCUGUUGAAAGAUGGGGUUCCCAGCAAUGG
This 966-nucleotide ribosomal RNA is filed under the name uncultured bacterium. RNAcentral describes it as "bacterial SSU rRNA". It matches the Rfam family "Bacterial small subunit ribosomal RNA", at positions 61 to 1025 of the family's 1533-position model. The record is from RNAcentral.